GGGCCCGUAGCCUAGCAUGGAUAAGGCGCCGGCCUUCGGAGCCGGAGAUCCCGGGUUCAAAUCCCGGCGGGCCCGCCA
This 78-nucleotide transfer RNA is filed under the name Thermoprotei archaeon. RNAcentral's name for it is "tRNA-Arg". It matches the Rfam family "tRNA". From Rfam's summary of the family: Transfer RNA (tRNA) molecules are approximately 80 nucleotides in length. The record is from RNAcentral. Lineage: Archaea; Thermoproteati; Thermoproteota; Thermoprotei.